RNAcentral lists this ribosomal RNA (759 nucleotides) under Pediococcus pentosaceus. RNAcentral's name for it is "bacterial SSU rRNA". It matches the Rfam family "Bacterial small subunit ribosomal RNA", at positions 51 to 766 of the family's 1533-position model. Lineage: Bacteria; Bacillati; Bacillota; Bacilli; Lactobacillales; Lactobacillaceae. The record is from RNAcentral.
AUACAUGCAAGUCGAACGAACUUCCGUUAAUUGAUUAUGACGUACUUGUACUGAUUGAGAUUUUAACACGAAGUGAGUGGCGAACGGGUGAGUAACACGUGGGUAACCUGCCCAGAAGUAGGGGAUAACACCUGGAAACAGAUGCUAAUACCGUAUAACAGAGAAAACCGCAUGGUUUUCUUUUAAAAGAUGGCUCUGCUAUCACUUCUGGAUGGACCCGCGGCGUAUUAGCUAGUUGGUGAGGUAAAGGCUCACCAAGGCAGUGAUACGUAGCCGACCUGAGAGGGUAAUCGGCCACAUUGGGACUGAGACACGGCCCAGACUCCUACGGGAGGCAGCAGUAGGGAAUCUUCCACAAUGGACGCAAGUCUGAUGGAGCAACGCCGCGUGAGUGAAGAAGGGUUUCGGCUCGUAAAGCUCUGUUGUUAAAGAAGAACGUGGGUAAGAGUAACUGUUUACCCAGUGACGGUAUUUAACCAGAAAGCCACGGCUAACUACGUGCCAGCAGCCGCGGUAAUACGUAGGUGGCAAGCGUUAUCCGGAUUUAUUGGGCGUAAAGCGAGCGCAGGCGGUCUUUUAAGUCUAAUGUGAAAGCCUUCGGCUCAACCGAAGAAGUGCAUUGGAAACUGGGAGACUUGAGUGCAGAAGAGGACAGUGGAACUCCAUGUGUAGCGGUGAAAUGCGUAGAUAUAUGGAAGAACACCAGUGGCGAAGGCGGCUGUCUGGUCUGCAACUGACGCUGAGCUAAAAAGCAUGGGU